GGGACUGCUUCAUCUGUCACUGGAACUACUAACGGAACAGGCUGAGUCACGGUGGUUCUGGCUGCCAAGGGCGGUUCUGUGGCUGUCGGAACCACCGCUGAGGCUUCUGUUCUUUGGUUCAGACGAUAUUCUUUAGUUACAGAUUAAGUUAUCGGAGCCACAUGUUGCGCGAAAGGGUUGUCCUUGCUGCUGCGAAAGUGAACAAAGCUGUGAUGUAAGCUGCUGGUAAAUUCGGGUUGAUUGAGAGUUCCGGUGACGCGUUUGGGUUAUGGUUUUGCGUUUUGAGGAUAUGGGUGCAAAAGUCACGAAGAGUUUAUUUAGUUGUUGAAAUGCUCUGUAUUGCUUU
Arachis ipaensis is the source of this 346-nucleotide non-coding RNA. The record is from RefSeq and is a predicted model, not a curated record. Lineage: Eukaryota; Viridiplantae; Streptophyta; Magnoliopsida; Fabales; Fabaceae.